GUCCAUCAACAAAGAGUCUUACUACUACCGGUUGGAGAGGCUCUAUCCUCAGGUGAUUGAUUACUUAAGAAGUAUACUGAAUUAUGAUAUCCAUCGAUCUAAUUUUGUAUAGGAAGUUUGAAAAACUAAAGAAUCUGUGGUACAUGAUUUGAUUUACUCAUUCAGAUUUUAGUAAAUUGUGACCGGAAGUUUUUUUUCACAAAACCAGUGCACCACCCUUUCUACACACAUCAUUCAUGGAUUGGCAGACUAAAGGUUCUAUUCAACAUCUUUGGUGGAUUGCAUAAAUGGGCUAGAGUAAAAAUAGACCAGAAUUGUUAUAUGUGCUUAGGGAAGUGGGAUUAGAUCAAGAUUUUUUUUUGACAAAAUGAGAAAUCAAUGGCUCAAGGAGAGUAAGCCCAAAGAGAUAAGUAUUGUUUUCCUUUAGUAGCUUGCCGCAUAAUUCAUUCAAACAUAUUUAGAGUGGAGCAGGAAUAUUCAAACAAGGAAAUGUACACAAUAUCUGUUAGUAUACAUGUGACACUUUCCCAUCUUUCGACUAAUGAUUGCCUCCUGCCAGGUAUCACUAAUAGCACAUUCAUCACAUCAUUUGUGUAGCUCAUUCUGGUGUAAGUCGGGCCAAUUUAGAAAAGAUUUUAAAGCAGAUUCAUACAUGUUAUAGAAGUCAGAGUCAAAUAGUAUAAUAAGUGAUUUGUUUGUGCAUAAUUUCUAAUUGAUCGUCUUCUAAGGAUAAAUGGAACUGCUACCUUUCCUCUCUCCAAUAAACUAUUAGACCCUGCUUGUAACUAUUUUUCAUCUUGGUGUGAUUUAUAAGGGAGGCCAUGCCAUUAGUUUUUUGUUAUUACAUGCUGUGAUGAUCCCGAUUCAUUGAUGUAUAGUGUCGUAUGUGGUCAAUUACCUAAUAUGGUAGUAUCACUUCUCCUGGUUUGCCUUGGUCUGAAAUCUGACUUUUGGACUGAUUGUAGUCAAUCUGAAUUAGUGAGGUUCUUUUUUCCAACUGUCCAUGUUCAGUUCUCUACAUUAUCAUGCAUUUUCUUUGGUUUAAAGAUGUCAUGAUGUUCACCAAGGUAGAGAAGAAAUGUUUUAAAGUUGUCCCUUCAAUUGAAACAAGUAUGACUUGGUCCUUAGUGCCUAUGCAGACAUGCAAACGGAAGGUCGAGAGGUUUAAAUAUGUCAUGAUGUUUACAAUUGCGGAUAUCCUGCUUCAGGUACUUGCAUGAUAACUCACAAUUUCAACACAGAAGUUACUAAUAUGUAAGACAUGCCCUCUCUCAUUCAAUGAUGUCCUGAAAUUUUCACACAAAGCUUUGUAAUCUUGCCAAGUCACAAGAGAGCCAAGUAAUCAUGCGAAUUUUCAGAGAACUUCAAGUGGCAUGCCACCAUUUGCAAUGGUUGUGAUGUAGUGAUAAUUAAUAAACUGCAGGUCUUCUAAAUAUUCUAAAGUUGCAUAUCUAAGAGCAUAUUAUAUUUCUCAUAAACAACUGGAGUUAAGCUUCUAUCCUCUUCCUGUCUUGAAGGAAUUAUCUGUUGAGUAAGCUACAAUCUCUUUGUUUGACUAGCUAGGCUGUGUUACAUACAUGUAUAAGAUGAUGCUUCUGUGGCUAUAACUGGUGCCUGCCACGCUAAAUAGGAAACACCCUAUUAAUUACCCACCUCAAUUUCAUUAGUGCGUCUGGCCUGUGAAUUUUACCCUAGACUAUAAAUCCCCUCCAAACGAAACCCUAUAGGUGUACUAUGACUUAAUAGUGUAUCCUUGUAAAAGUCAGUGUGUUGGGUUAUUUUUUUGGUGUGGUUAGAGAACUCGACUCCAUUUGGAAUGAGGGUUUGAGUUUUAUUUUUCCUAAACCUUUGAGAGGCAGAGCCAUGGAAAUAUUUUGUGCUCUCAUUCCUCUGGAUGGAAGCUCUAACUUUUCCUCUUUGUUUCCAAUAAGCUACUUUCUUCGAGAUUGUGCAAUGAAGGAUUUUGAUGGUAAGGGAUCGUAGAGCCUUGGGUGACUAGCAUUAAGAUAGGAAGGUUGUUGCCGCCCUUGUCCCUUGCUGCUGUGUUGCCACGGUGGCGUCAAUCACUGGCUUAUUUAGAACAAUAGUUAGUGGAUUUUGUGAUAAGGGUGAGGGCCGAGAGUGAGAGGGACGGGGUUGGGAUUGGUCUGUUGUAUGCGUGAAAUUAUUUCCCUACUUCAGAAAAUAUGGCAAAUUGCAUUUCAUUAGAGAUUGAUUUACAGCAAAUUGCAUGAGCGAGUGGUUCAUGCAUUUUUCAUCAAGUCGUACAUUUUCUUGGUUAUGACAUAAGGGUAAAUGUACUGGUUGGUUGCUUCAAGACUUAAUAACAGACACUAUGACAAUGGCUCAAGAGAUAUUAGAUCUACCUUCUUGGUUGGGGGCGUUAUGGGUGGCGCACGCCUCGACCCCCUUGAUGGCCGUGGUGGAUGGACAUGAACACGAGGGGGGAUCAGGGCGGAGAGCAGGGUGGUUGGCAGGGGACUCAUCCUUGGCAGUUCAUGGGAAAGUACGUUGUGAAGCAGAGGGGGCGCCAUGGCGAAGGUGAGGUAGCCAUCAUCCGGUCAUCUGUACUCCUAAUGUCUUAGUUGGUAGUCUCCGCUCACCGGUUAAAUUUCGUCCCACCAACACCAUUUUUUUCAUCCUCCCUCCCACCUCCUGUUGGAAAUAUGCCCUAGAGGCAAUAAUAAAAGCAUUAUUAUUAUAUUUCCUUGUUCAUGAUAAUUGUCUUUAUUCAUGCUAUAAUUGUGUUAUCCGGAAAUCGUAAUGCAUGUGUGAAUAACAGACACCAACAUGUCCCUAGUGAGCCUCUAGUUGACUAGCUCGUUGAUCAACAGAUAGUCAUGGUUUCCUGACUAUGGACACUGGAUGUCAUUGAUAACGAGAUCACAUCAUUGGGAGAAUGAUGUGAUGGACGAGACCCAAUCCUAAACAUAGCACAAGAUCGUAUAGUUCGUUUGCUAGAGUUUUGCAAUGUCAAAGUAUCUUUUCCUUAGACCAUGAGAUCGUGUAACUCCCGGAUACCGUAGGAGUGCUUUGGGUAUGCCAAACGUCACAACGUAACUGGGUGACUAUAAAGGUAGACUACGGGUAUCUCCGAAAGUGUCUGUUGGGUGACAUGGAUCAAGACUGGGAUUUGUCACUCCGUAUGACGGAGAGGUAUCACUGGGCCCACUCGGUAAUGCAUCAUCAUAAUGAGCUCAGAGUGACCAAGUGUCUGGUCACGGGAUCAUGCGUUACGGUACGAGUAAAGUGACUUGCCGGUAACGAGAUUGAACGAGGUAUUGGGAUACCGACGAUCGAAUCUCGGGCAAGUAACAUAUCGAUAGACAAAGGGAAUAGCGUACGGGGUUGAUUGAAUCCUCGAAAUCGUGGUUCAUCCGAUGAGAUCAUCGUGGAGCAUGUGGGAGCCAACAUGGGUAUCCAGAUCCCGCUGUUGGUUAUUGACCGGAGAGUCGUCUCGGUCAUGUCUGCUUGUCUCUCGAACCCGUAGGGUCUACACACUUAAGGUUCAGUUACGCUAGGGUUGUAGGGAUAUGUAUAUGCAGUAACCCGAAUGUUGUUCGGAGUCCCGGAUGAGAUCCCGGACGUCACGAGGAGUUCCGGAAUGGUCCGGAGGUAAAGAUUUAUAUAUGGGAAGUCUUGUUUCGGGCAUCGGGACAAGUUUCGGGGUUAUCGGUAUUGUACCGGGACCACCGGAAGGGUCCCGGGGGUCCACCGGGUGGGUCCACCUGUCCCGGGGGGCCACAUGGGCUGUAAGGGGGUGCGCCUUGGCCUAAUGGGCCAAGGGCACCAGCCCCACAUAGGCCCAUGCGCCUAGGGUUUAGAAGGGGAAGAGUCCUAGGAGGGUAAGGCACCUCCUAGGUGCCUUUGGGGGGAGGAAAACCCCCCUUAGGCCGCCGCACCCCCUAGGAGAUUGGAUCUCCUAGGGCCGGCCACCCCCCCCCUUGGCACCCCUAUAUAUUGUGGGGGAGAGGAGGGACUUCAUACCUGAACGCCUCGGCCUUUGGUUGCCUCCUUCUCCCUCCCCAACACCUCCUCAACCUCCAUAGUGCUUAGCGAAGCUCUGCCGGAGUACUGCAGCUCCAUCAACACCACGCCGUCGUGCUGCUGCUGGUGCCAUCUCCCUCAACCUCUCCUCCCUCCCUUGCUGGAUCAAGAAGGAGGAGACGUGGCUGUUCCGUACGUGUGUUGAACGCGGAGGUGCCGUCCGUUCGGCGCUGGUCAUCGGUGAUUUGGAUCACGUCGAGUACGACUACAUCAUCACCGUUCUUUUGAACGCUUCCGCUUGCGAUCUACAAAGGUAUGUAGAUGCAUCUAAUCACUCGUUGCUAGAUGAACUCCUAGAUGAUCUUGGUGAAACGAGUAGGAAAAUUUUUGUUUUCUGCAACGUUCCCCAACAGUGGCAUCAUGAGCUAGGUCUAUGCGUAGUUCUUCUUGCGCGAGUAGAACACAAUUUGUUGUGGGCGUAGAUUUGUCAACUUUCUUGCCGUUACUAGUCCUUUCUUGCUUCAGCGGUAUUGUGGGAUGAAGCGGCCCGGACCAACCUUACACGUACGCUUACGUGAGACCGGUUCCACCGACUAACAUGCACUAGUUGCAUAAGGUGGCUGGCGGGUGUCUGUCUCUCCUACUUUAGUUGGAGCGGAAUCGAUGAACAGGGUCCUUAUGAAGGGUAAAUAGAAGUUGACAAAUCACGUUGUGGCUUUAACGUAGGUAAGAAAACGUUCUUGCUAGUACCCUAAUUCAGCCACGUAAAACUUGCAACAACAAUUAGAGGACGUCUAACUUGUUUUUGCAGCAAGUGGUUUGUGAUAUGAUAUGGCCAAAGUUGUGAUGAAUGAUGAAUGAUCUAUAUGUGAUGUAUGAGAUGUUCAUGCUAUUGUAAUAGGAUUCACGACUUGCAUGUCGAUGAGUAUGACAACCGGCAGGAGCCAUAGGAGUUGUCUUUAUUCUUUUAUAUGACCUGCGUGUCAUCAAGAAACGCCAUGUAAAUUACUUUACUUUAUUGCUAAACACGUUAGCCAUAGUAGUAGAAGUAAUAGUUGGCGAGCAACUUCAUGGAGACACGAUGAUGGAGAUCAUGAUGAUGGAGAUCAUGGUGUCAAGCCAGUGACAAGAUGAUCAUGGAGCCCCAAGAUGGAGAUCAAAGGAGCUAUGUGAUAUUGGCCAUAUCAUGUCACGUUUAUUAUUUGAUUUCAUGUGAUGUUUAUCAUGUUUUGCAUCUUGUUUACUUAGAAGGACGGUAGUAAAUAAGAUGAUCCCUCACAAUAAUUUCAAGAAGUGUUCCCCCUAACUGUGCACCGUUGCGACAGUUCGCUGUUUCAAAACACCACGUGAUGAUCGGGUGUUUUAUUCAGACGUUCACAUACAACGGGUGUAAGACAGAUUUACACAUGCAAACACUUAGGUUGACUUGACGAGCCUAGCAUGUACAGACAUGGCCUCGGAACACAGAAGACCGAAAGGUCGAGCAUGAGUCGUAUAGAAGAUACGAUCAACAUGAAGAUGUUCACUGAUGUUGACUAGUCCGUCUCACGUGAUGAUCGGACACGGUCUAGUUUAACUCGGAUCAUGUAAUACUUAGAUGACCAGAGGGAUGUCUAAUCUAAGUGGGAGUUCACUAAUAAUUUGAUUAGUUGAACUUAAUUAUCAUGAACUUAGUCUAAAAUCUUUGCAAUAUGUCUUGUAGAUCAAAUGGCCAACGUAGUCCUCAACUUCAACGCGUUCCUAGAGAAAACUAAGCUGAAAGACGAUGGCAGCAACUAUACGGACUGGGUCCGGAACCUGAGGAUCAUCCUCAUAGCUGCCAAGAAAGAUUAUGUCCUACAAGCACCGCUUGGUGACGCACCCGUUCUCCCUGCAGAACAAGAUGUUAUGAACGCUUGGCAGGCACGUUUCGAUGACUACUCCCUCGUUCAGUGCGGCAUGCUUUACAGCCUAGAGCCGGGGCUCCAAAAGCGUUUUGAGAGACAUGGAGCAUAUGAGAUGUUCGAAGAGCUGAAAAUGGUUUUCCAAGCUCAUGCCCGGGUCGAGAGAUAUGAAGUCUCCGACAAAUUCUUUAGCUGUAAGAUGGAGGAAAACAGUUCUGUCAGUAAGCACAUACUCACUAUGUCUGGGUUGCAUAACCGCUUGACUCGGCUGGGAGUUAAUCUCCCGGAUGAUGCGGUCAUUGACAGAAUCCUCCAGUCGCUUCCACCAAGCUACAAGAGCUUUGUGAUGAACUUCAAUAUGCAGGGGAUGGAAAAGACCAUUCCUGAAGUAUUUGCUAUGCUGAAAUCAGCAGAGGUAGAAGUCAGAAAGGAACAUCAAGUGUUGAUGGUCAAUAAAACCACUAAGUUCAAGAAAGGCAAGGGUAAAAAGAACUUCAAGAAGGACGGCAAGGAGGUUGCCGCGCCCGGCAAGCAAGCUGCUGGGAAGAAGCCAAAGAAUGGACCCAAGCCCGAGACUGAGUGCUUUUAUUGCAAGGGAAGCGGUCACUGGAAGCGGAACUGCCCUAAGUACUUAGCAGAUAAGAAGGCCGGCAAAAACAAAAGGUAUAUGUGAUAUACAUGUAAUUGAUGUGUACCUUACUAGUGCCCGUAGUAGCUCCUGGGUAUUUGAUACCGGUGCAGUUGCUCACAUUUGUAACUCAAAGCAGGGGCUGCGGAAUAAGCGGAAACUGGCAAAGGACGAGGUGACGAUGCGCGUCGGGAAUGGUUCCAAGGUCAAUGUGAUCGCCGUCGGCACGCUACCUCUGCAUCUCCCUUCGGGAUUAGUUUUAAACCUUGAUAAUUGUUAUUUAGUGCCAGCUUUGAGCAUGAACAUUGUAUCGGGAUCUCGUUUAAUUCGAGAUGACUACUCUUUUAAAUCUGAGAAUAAUGGUUGUUCCAUUUUUAUGAGAGAUAUGUUUUAUGGUCAUGCUCCUAUGGUGAAUGGUUUAUUCCUUAUGAAUCUCGAACGUGAUGCUACACAUAUUCAUAAUGUGAGUACCAAAAGAAGUAAGGUUGAUAAUGAUAGUCCCACAUACUUGUGGCACUGCCGCCUUGGUCACAUAGGUGUUAAACGCAUGAAGAAGCUCCAUGCUGAUGGACUUUUAGAGUCUCUUGAUUAUGAAUCAUUUGACACGUGCGAACCAUGCCUUAUGGGUAAAAUGACCAAGACUCCGUUCUCAGGAACAAUGGAGCGAGCAACCGACUUAUUGGAAAUCAUACAUACUGAUGUGUGCGGUCCGAUGAGUAUUGAGGCUCGCGGUGGCUAUCGUUAUGUUCUCACCCUCACUGAUGAUUUAAGUAGGUAUGGGUAUAUCUACUUAAUGAAACACAAGUCUGAAACCUUUGAAAAGUUCAAGGAAUUUCAGAGUGAGGUUGAAAAUCAACGUGACAGGAAAAUCAAGUUUCUACGAUCAGAUCGUGGAGAAGAAUACUUGAGUCACGAGUUUGGGGCACACUUAAGAAAAUGUGGAAUAGUUUCACAACUCACGCCGCCUGGAACACCUCAGCGUAAUGGUGUGUCCGAACGUCGUAAUCGCACUCUGUUAGAUAUGGUGCGAUCUAUGAUGUCUCUUACCGAUUUACCGCUUUCUUUUUGGGGCUAUGCUUUAGAGACUGCCGCAUUCACUUUAAAUAGGGCUCCGUCGAAAUCCGUGAGACGACACCGUAUGAAUUAUGGUUUGGGAAGAAACCUAAGCUGUCGUUUCUAAAAGUUUGGGGAUGCGAUGCUUAUGUCAAGAAACUUCAACCUGAAAAGCUCGAACCCAAAUCGGAAAAAUGCGUCUUCAUAGGGUACCCAAAAGAAACUAUUGGGUACACCUUCUACCUCAGAUCCGAAGGCAAGAUCUUUGUUGCCAAGAAUGGGUCCUUUCUGGAGAAAGAGUUUCUCUCGAAAGAAGUAAGUGGGAGGAAAGUAGAGCUUGAUGAAGUAUUACCUCUUGAACCGGAAAAUGGCGCAACUCAAGAAAAUGUUCCUGAGGUGCCUGCACCGACUAGAGAGGAAGUUAAUGAUCAAGAUACUUCUGAUCAAGCCCCUACUGAAAUUCGAAGGUCCACAAGGACACGUUCCGCACCAGAGUGGUACGGCAACCCUGUCUUGGAAAUCAUGCUGUUAGACAACGGUGAACCUUCGAACUAUGAAGAAGCGAUGGCGGGCCCGGAUUCCGACAAAUGGCUAGAAGCCAUGAAAUCCGAGAUAGGAUCCAUGUAUGAAAACAAAGUAUGGACUUUGACUGACUUGCCCGUUGAGCGGCGAGCCAUAGAAAAUAAAUGGAUCUUUAAGAGGAAGACAGACGCAGAUGGUAAUGUGACCAUCUAUAAAGCUCGGCUUGUCGCUAAUGGUUAUCGACAAGUUCAAGGGGUUGACUACGAUGAGACUUUCUCACCGGUAGCGAAGCUGAAGUCCGUCCGAAUCAUGUUAGCAAUUGCCGCAUUCUAUGAUUACGAAAUAUGGCAAAUGGACGUCAAAACGGCAUUCCUUAAUGGUUUCCUUAAGGAAGAAUUGUAUAUGAUGCAGCCGAAAGGUUUUGUCGAUCCUAAGAAUGCUGACAAAGUGUGCAAGCUCCAACGCUCGAUUUAUGGGCUGGUGCAAGCAUCUCGGAGUUGGAACAUUCGCUUUGAUGAGAUGAUCAAAGCGUUUGGGUUUACACAGACUUAUGGAGAAGCCUGCGUUUACAAGAAAGUGAGUGGGAGCUCUGUAGCAUUUCUCAUAUUAUAUGUAGAUGACAUACUUUUGAUGGGAAAUGAUAUAGAACUCUUGGACAGCAUCAAGGCCUACUUGAAUAAAAGUUUUUCAAUGAAGGACCUUGGAGAAGCUGCUUAUAUAUUAGGCAUCAAAAUCUAUAGAGAUAGAUCAAGACGCCUCAUAGGUCUUUCACAAAGCACAUACCUUGAUAAGAUAUUGAAGAAGUUCAAUAUGGAUCAAUCCAAGAAGGGGUUCUUUCCUGUGUUGCAAGGUAUGAAAUUGAGCUCAGCUCAAUGUCCGACCACGGCAGAAGAUAUAGAAGAGAUGAGCGUCAUCCCCUAUGCCUCAGCCAUAGGUUCUAUUAUGUAUACCAUGCUGUGUACCAGACCUGAUGUAAACCUUGCCGUAAGUUUGGUAGGAAGGUACCAAAGUAAUCCCGGCAAGGAACACUGGACAGCGGUCAAGAAUAUCCUGAAGUACCUGAAAAGGACUAAGGAAAUGUUUCUCGUUUAUGGAGGUGACGAAGAGCUAGUCGUAAAGGGUUACGUCGACGCUAGCUUCGACACAGAUCUGGAUGACUCUAAGUCACAAACCGGAUACGUGUAUAUUUUGAAUGGUGGGGUAGUGAGCUGGUGCAGUUGCAAGCAAAGCGUCGUGGCGGGAUCUACAUGUGAAGCGGAGUACAUGGCAGCCUCGGAGGCAGCACAUGAAGCAAUAUGGGUGAAGGAGUUCAUCACCGACCUAGGAGUCAUACCCAAUGCGUCGGGGCCGAUCAAGCUCUUCUGUGACAACUCUGGAGCUAUUGCACUUGCCAAGGAGCCCAGGUUUCACAAGAAGACAAGGCACAUCAAGCGUCGCUUCAACUCCAUUCGUGAAAAUGUUCAAGAUGGAGACAUAGAGAUUUGUAAAGUACAUACGGACCUGAAUGUAGCAGAUCCGUUGACUAAACCUCUCCCUAGAGCAAAACAUGAUCAACACCAGAAUUCCAUGGGUGUUCGAUUCAUCACAAUGUAACUAGAUUAUUGACUCUAGUGCAAGUGGGAGACUGUUGGAAAUAUGCCCUAGAGGCAAUAAUAAAAGCAUUAUUAUUAUAUUUCCUUGUUCAUGAUAAUUGUCUUUAUUCAUGCUAUAAUUGUGUUAUCCGGAAAUCGUAAUGCAUGUGUGAAUAACACACACCAACAUGUCCCUAGUGAGCCUCUAGUUGACUAGCUCGUUGAUCAACAGAUAGUCAUGGUUUCCUGACUAUGGACACUGGAUGUCAUUGAUAACGAGAUCACAUCAUUGGGAGAAUGAUGUGAUGGACGAGACCCACUCCUAAACAUAGCACAAGAUCGUAUAGUUCGUUUGCUAGAGUUUUGCAAUGUCAAAGUAUCUUUUCCUUAGACCAUGAGAUCGUGUAACUCCCGGAUACCGUAGGAGUGCUUUGGGUAUGCCAAACGUCACAACGUAACUGGGUGACUAUAAAGGUAGACUACGGGUAUCUCCGAAAGUGUCUGUUGGGUGACAUGGAUCAAGACUGGGAUUUGUCACUCCGUAUGACGGAGAGGUAUCACUGGGCCCACUCGGUAAUGCAUCAUCAUAAUGAGCUCAGAGUGACCAAGUGUCUGGUCACGGGAUCAUGCGUUACGGUACGAGUAAAGUGACUUGCCGGUAACGAGAUUGAACGAGGUAUUGGGAUACCGACGAUCGAAUCUCGGGCAAGUAACAUAUCGAUAGACAAAGGGAAUAGCGUACGGGGUUGAUUGAAUCCUCGACAUCGUGGUUCAUCCGAUGAGAUCAUCGUGGAGCAUGUGGGAGCCAACAUGGGUAUCCAGAUCCCGCUGUUGGUUAUUGACCGGAGAGUCGUCUCGGUCAUGUCUGCUUGUCUCUCGAACCCGUAGGGUCUACACACUUAAGGUUCAGUUACGCUAGGGUUGUAGGGAUAUGUAUAUGCAGUAACCCGAAUGUUGUUCGAAGUCCCGGAUGAGAUCCCGGACGUCACGAGGAGUUCCGGAAUGGUCCGGAGGUAAAGAUUUAUAUAUGGGAAGUCUUGUUUCGGGCAUCGGGACAAGUUUCGGGGUUAUCGGUAUUGUACCGGGACCACCGGAAGGGUCCCGGGGGUCCACCGGGUGGGUCCACCUGUCCCGGGGGGGCCACAUGGGCUGUAAGGGGGUGCGCCUUGGCCUAAUGGGCCAAGGGCACCAGCCCCACAUAGGCCCAUGCGCCUAGGGUUUAGAAGGGGAAGAGUCCUAGGAGGGUAAGGCACCUCCUAGGUGCCUUUGGGGGGAGGAAAACCCCCCUUAGGCCGCCGCACCCCCUAGGAGAUUGGAUCUCCUAGGGCCGGCCACCCCCCCUUGGCACCCCUAUAUAUAGUGGGGGAGAGGAGGGACUUCAUACCUGAACGCCUCGGCCUUUGGUUGCCUCCUUCUCCCUCCCCAACACCUCCUCAACCUCCAUAGUGCUUAGCGAAGCUCUGCCGGAGUACUGCAGCUCCAUCAACACCACGCCGUCGUGCUGCUGCUGGUGCCAUCUCCCUCAACCUCUCCUCCCUCCCUUGCUGGAUCAAGAAGGAGGAGACGUGGCUGUUCCGUACGUGUGUUGAACGCGGAGGUGCCGUCCGUUCGGCGCUGGUCAUCGGUGAUUUGGAUCACGUCGAGUACGACUACAUCAUCACCGUUCUUUUGAACGCUUCCGCUCGCGAUCUACAAAGGUAUGUAGAUGCAUCUAAUCACUCGUUGCUAGAUGAACUCCUAGAUGAUCUUGGUGAAACGAGUAGGAAAAUUUUUGUUUUCUGCAACGUUCCCCAACACCUCCCACUCCCAGCUAUUCCCACCGGCUUUAUUUUAUGUGAUCUGAAUAUGAGCGAGUCUUAAAUUUUGGUGCAGUGUGAAAGGAGGAAAAUGGUUGCCGGAAAGCAGGUAGAUCUACACCUUGAGAGAUGGCAUUUUGCGGUACAUUGUUUAGGUAAGGAUAUUGUGCUUUCUUCUAAAAACUCUGGACUGUCGACAAGAUUGAGUUGUGUUCCAUUUUUUAAAAAUUACUUAGAAUCUUGGUUCUGGCAAUACUACUAUGAACUGGCAUACCUCGUGAUCAUGAGAGGAUGACAAGUUCCUGAUCCCCAAGAACGCCCUCAUGUGUGGCUGCCGGUCGUCGGACAAGACAUCUCUGACGACUUAGCCACACAGCAAACCUAAGUUUGUCAUGGGAGGAUGUCACCUUGGACUGGAGCAACAGACGUCAAAAAUUUACCAGGAAAAAAGGCUCACAAAUAAGAGUGACCCAAACACAAAUUGUCGUACGUUUGCAAUUAAACUCUUAGUAGCAGCUUGAUUCUUACUAUUGUUACUUUGGUGGUGGGUAUAAUUAGUCAUGUAGUAGCAUCUUAGCUUCAUCUUAUUUCUUGAGAACAUAUCUAGCUAUCAGAUCUUCAAGAGUACACCAUAAAAAUUGAAACGCCUAUCAGCUUCAUAGAAGAAAGUUAGUCUUAUGAUAGAAGAAAGGCCCAUCAGCCCUUACAGUGCUUGAUUGGUUAGCGACUGCUUUUCAGGCUCAACUGAUUACUGACUACGUCCAACAACAUAUGACUAACAUGACCAAGUAGAAGUAAAUUUCAUUGUGAUCAAGAUGGUGCCUUUAUUUUGGAAAACACGAUUGAGAUGGGUAGGCGAAUGGGCAUCUCACCGGAACAAAUAGACAGACUGAUUUCACUCAUACACAGGUUGAUUAUAUUAUACGGUCAACUCACGAAGUAGCCGGGAUACCUUCUGCUUGAAGUUUGAAAGCCAUUAGCAUGCUAAAUUAUAUGGAUGUGUUGGUCUUGACGUGUGUGCACGUACAUUGUAAAAUAAACUUGAGUAAUGAUUAAUACCUUGUUUACUCUUUGUUUGCUUUACAGGUAUUUGGAUUAUCUAUUAUGUUUCAGAAUUUCUCGAACUAUGGUAUCUCCAUANNNNNNNNNNNNNNNNNNNNNNNNNNNNNNNNNNNNNNNNNNNNNNNNNNNNNNNNNNNNNNNNNNNNNNNNNNNNNNNNNNNNNNNNNNNNNNNNNNNNNNNNNNNNNNNNNNNNNNNNNNNNNNNNNNNNNNNNNNNNNNNNNNNNNNNNNNNNNNNCCCAGUAAUUUCAUUCAAGAUAUCUUAAGGAGAAAUUUGGUUUUUGGUGAACUGAAACAAUAUACCAAUAAAAAAUUAGCGCUUGGCUGUACAUAUGAAUGUUAACUUUGUUAAAAUAAUUCUCCCUUUAUAAGAGAAGAUUUCUUAGUUCAAAUAUAUUUUUUGAAAAAAUAUAGUAUUUUCCUGAUAAACCUUUUGAUUCCUCAACAUCCAUAUCUCAGAAGGAUAAUAGUGGUGUGUUUAUGUUGCUUUGGGUCUCUUAUCACUCGGAUCAUUCAUCAGAAAAAUAUUUAAAAAAUAAUUCUAUUUUGACGUUUCCUUUGUGUUCAUUGUUCCAUCAUAGUAGUUUAGGUUCACAUGAAACCAGACCAUAUGUUUCAGUUUCACUCUUUGGACCAUGAUGGUGUUGUGCAAGGUGGGCUAGAUCGUAAUGCUAAAAGAAUCAAUGGAGGUUAUUGGAUAGCUUUUGGAUUCUCCAAAAAAUAAUCUAGCAGAUGGAUGAUCCUAUUAUCACGUAUGGUGGUGGUGUGCAAGGAAAUGGAGCAGCAUGAUGGUAGCUAAUGCUGUUAUCUUCACAUGUAAGAUGUAUGAGCUUCAGUUAGUCAUGCUAUUAUCAUGUAUAGUCAAAAAUGAUUAGUUUAAUCGGAAUUUAGAGUUUCAUUCUUAGUUCUCUGAAAUAUUGUUUUUAUAUGUAAUUCCUGCAGAGUGUAGUAUAUUGGGAGCCAAGGCCGAGUAGCAAGCCAUGUGUCACCGCAAGGACAGGAGCGAGAUUUAAUUAAUUGUAUUUGCAAGAUUUGGUCUUCCGUUCUUGUUUUCUUGGUCAUCUCACAGGUUUUAUCACUUACAUUUCCUUCUAUGGUGGUCUGAUCAUUGUACUUUGGGACAUUGUACUUUUAGGACGUAAUGUGCACUUCUGGUUGUUAUUUUAAAUUGCUCAUGUCUUGAUAUGUCUUUCAAAUUCUUGACAUCUGCGCCAGUAGCCUAAACCUCCAUGGCAUGCUCCAUCGGAGUAUUUUGUUUGUUGCACAAUUUUCAAGUGCGACCUUCCAAUUUAUUUUGUUGUAACUAUAAGGUUUGGCACCUCAGAUAAGUUCUCGAAAUACCAAUGUCAUAUUUCAAUUAGAAAAUAAGUUUUAGUUUGAUCAUGCAUGCAAUUGUAAUAACCCUACUUUGAGCUUUUAUGUACUGGUUUAAAUAGUUAAAUCUUCUAGAUUCUUUUGCAUAUUUUCUUGGAAUUAUAC
This 13980-nucleotide long non-coding RNA is filed under the name Triticum aestivum (bread wheat). Its description in RNAcentral is "long non-coding RNA (TAES_LNC006190)". Lineage: Eukaryota; Viridiplantae; Streptophyta; Magnoliopsida; Poales; Poaceae. The record is from RNAcentral.